AGUGAACGCUGGCGGUAGACCUAACACAUGCAAGUCGAACGGCAGCACAGUAAGAGCUUGCUCUUACGGGUGGCGAGUGGCGGACGGGAGAGGAAUACAUCGGAAUCUUCUUUUUCGUGGGGGAUAACGUAGGUAAACUUACGCUAAUACCGCAUACGACCUACGGGUGAAAGCAGUGGAUCUUCGGACCUUGCGCGAUUGAAUGUGCCGAUUUCGGAUUAGCUAGUUGGCGGGGUAAGGGCCCACCAAGGAGACGAUCCGAAGCUCGUCUGAGUGGCAGAUCACCCACACUGGAACAGAGAAACGGUCCAGACUCCUACGAGAGGCAGCAGUGGGAUAUAUUGGACAAUGGGAGCAAGCCUGAUCCAGCACGACCGCGUGCGUGGAGAAGGCCUUCCGGUUGUAAAGCCAUUUUGUUGGGAAAGAACAGCAGCAGGUUAAUACCCAGCUGUUCUGACGGUACCCAAAGAAUAAGCACCGGCUAACUUCGUG
This 492-nucleotide ribosomal RNA is filed under the name uncultured bacterium. Its description in RNAcentral is "partial 16S ribosomal RNA". It matches the Rfam family "Bacterial small subunit ribosomal RNA", at positions 29 to 507 of the family's 1533-position model. The record is from RNAcentral.